Molecule: long non-coding RNA, 1666 nt
Filed under: Lupinus angustifolius (narrow-leaved blue lupine)
Lineage: Eukaryota; Viridiplantae; Streptophyta; Magnoliopsida; Fabales; Fabaceae
Description: long non-coding RNA (LANG_LNC002964)
Source: RNAcentral
UUGAAAGAGAUAGGAAAUAACGUAUAGAACAAGAAAGAAGAGAAUGGACAAAAAACCAACCACUUCCUUUCCUCAUUCGUGCGCUGUUACAAAAUUGAAGAUGAUUUUUCCUAUUCCUUCUUGAACAAUGACAAGAUCACAUCAAUAUAAAUUAUAGAGAAAAGAGGGAGAAGAACCAACAGUGGUUCAACAACUAAAAAAGAGAAACAAAUCUCCAAAGAAAAACACCCUCAAAUUUUAUCCCAAAAUAGCUAUAGUAUCUCUAUAUCCGUGUCUGUCCCUCAAACCAAAAAAACUAUCAUUAGGCCUUAAGGAUUUGUGCCUAACUGUAAUCCUAUUUUUGCAUACUAUCUUCAUAGUGCAACCACUCCUCAAUCCUCGGCAUUUUAUAAAGUGAUUCCAUGCGUCAUUCUCUAACCAAAUAUAUAUAUCUUAUCUGGUGCAGUAGAGUGGAAGGUUGAGCGCAUGAGGAACACCUUCAUUAACUUCUUCCAAGAUAGGGCUCACAAAUGUUGUUAAUAUAGUCUUAUUAUAUCUUAUAAUGAUCCAACCCUUCUUCAUGUUUGUCCGAGCUGUGAAUGCAAAACCGAAGCUGGAUGAGGGGAUAAAAAUCACAAGUAAUCAGAGAUUACAACACACAAAAAUCAGAGAUACAACACAGAGCAUACACUUAGAAUAUCAGGAUAACCAUACAAUCAGAAUAUAAAACAAGGCAUAACAAGAAGGACAAUCAGAGAUACCAAAAGUGACGAAUUUAGCCGAUAUAUAGAAAGUGCAGGGAGCAUCCAGAAACAGAAAAAUCAACCAAGUUGACAUUUAAGGGAUAAAAAGCAAAAGGUACAUCCUCAGGUAAGUUACUAUCCCAUUCAUUUGCAUAAUUGUAAGCAAUAUGGUUUACUUAUUUCAUAUCCCACAUAAUAAAAGAAUACACACCUCCGCAUUCCAUUAAGAACAUUUAUAUUGUGGUAAUCUUAAGUAUAAUGUGUUUAUGAAAUAUCAUCGUCAAAUAUUUUUUUAUAAGUGUAUUAAUAGUAUCCAGAAGCAAAUGAGUUCAUAAGAACUUAAGGAAACCGAGAAUCCAGAAGGAAAUGAGAUAUGAAAAGAGAGUGAGGAAAUGAGAUAUGAAAAGAGAGUGAGGAAAUGAGAUAUGAAAAGAGAGUGAGGAAAUGAGAUAUGAAAAGAGAGUGAGGAAAUGAGAUAUGAAAAGAGAGUGAGGAAAUUAGUUACCCUUUUUUAAGUCACCAUAAUAAUCUGUCUUCAACAUCGUGAUUUCAUCUUCGUCCACCGAACCACCACUCCAUGUCAUCUCCAUUCUCCCUUAAUUCGCCUAUUCAAUAAAUCCAAACAGCAACCAAAAAUCAAUCAAAUAUGAACAUAACAUGAGAAUAGACUCAAUGAGACUAAUAACAUGAGAAUAACAUGGUCUUCCAACCGAAAAUCGGGUCGCGACACUCUUCCUCUUCCUUUUCCCUUGCUUCCUCCUUAGUCAUCUAAAGAACCUUAUUCAAAUUCAGACUCACUAUUUUCACUCACUAUUAUAAAAGCCAACUCAUACUAGCUAGUCCAAUCGGUUCAAUUAUAAACCAGAUAUCUCAUUAGUUCAAAUCUCUCAUUUAACUAAUUUUACAUUAGAAUGGAGAUGACUUAGUUUGACUCGGUCUUUGAG